GACGAACGCUGGCGGCAUGCCUAAUACAUGCAAGUCGAGCGGACUUGAUGAGAAGCUUGCUUCUCUGAUGGUUAGCGGCGGACGGGUGAGUAACACGUAGGCAACCUGCCCUCAAGUUUGGGACAACUACCGGAAACGGUAGCUAAUACCGAAUAGUUGUUUUCUUCGCCUGAAGGAAACUGGAAAGACGGAGCAAUCUGUCACUUGGGGAUGGGCCUGCGGCGCAUUAGCUAGUUGGUGAGGUAACGGCUCACCAAGGCGACGAUGCGUAGCCGACCUGAGAGGGUGAUCGGCCACACUGGGACUGAGACACGGCCCAGACUCCUACGGGAGGCAGCAGUAGGGAAUCUUCCGCAAUGGGCGAAAGCCUGACGGAGCAAUGCCGCGUGAGUGAUGAAGGUUUUCGGAUCGUAAAGCUCUGUUGCCAGGGAAGAACGGUUGGGAGAGUAACUGCUCUC
This 458-nucleotide ribosomal RNA is filed under the name uncultured bacterium. RNAcentral's name for it is "bacterial SSU rRNA". It matches the Rfam family "Bacterial small subunit ribosomal RNA", at positions 28 to 472 of the family's 1533-position model. The record is from RNAcentral.